Molecule: unclassified non-coding RNA, 241 nt
Filed under: Hevea brasiliensis (rubber tree)
Lineage: Eukaryota; Viridiplantae; Streptophyta; Magnoliopsida; Malpighiales; Euphorbiaceae
Source: RNAcentral
UUUAGCAGCUGCUAGUAAUUAAUAUGUUUUUUUUCAUUAAUCAUGCUAGAACUGCAUGCAUAUACAUGAAAAGAAACAUAUUAAUUACUAGCAGCUGCUAAAUUAAGGAAUAACAUAGGUAAGUUUAAUCUUAAAUUAGGGGGAGAGAGGGAGAGAAGGAUAGUAUUAAUUUUGGACUCGCAAAGUCCAAGCAAAAGCACACAUAUGGCUACAUUGUAUAGCAUCAUGAGCAAUCAGCCUU